This 900-nucleotide ribosomal RNA is filed under the name uncultured bacterium. RNAcentral's name for it is "bacterial SSU rRNA". It matches the Rfam family "Bacterial small subunit ribosomal RNA", at positions 8 to 916 of the family's 1533-position model. The record is from RNAcentral.
AGAGUUUGAUCCUGGCUCAGGACGAACGCUGGCGGCGUGCUUAACACAUGCAAGUUGAACGGUAUGACAUGGAAGCUUGCUGAAGUGUCAUAUAGUAGCGGACGGGUGAGUAACGUGUGGGUAACCUGCCAUAUACUGGGGAAUAAUCAUUGGAAACGAUGACUAAUACCGCAUGUGGUCACGAGAUGGCAUCAUCUUGUGAAGAAAGGGCUUCGGCUCGGUAUAUGAUGGACCCGCAUCUGAUUAGCUAGUUGGUGAGAUAACAGCUCACCAAGGCGACGAUCAGUAGCCGACCUGAGAGGGUGAUCGGCCACAUUGGGACUGAGACACGGCCCAAACUCCUACGGGAGGCAGCAGUGGGGAAUAUUGCACAAUGGGCGAAAGCCUGAUGCAGCAACGCCGCGUGAAGGAAGAAGGGUUUCGGCUCGUAAACUUCUAUCAAUGGGGAAGAAACAAAUGACGGUACCCAAAUAAGAAGCCCCGGCUAACUACGUGCCAGCAGCCGCGGUAAUACGUAGGGGGCAAGCGUUAUCCGGAAUUACUGGGUGUAAAGGGUGAGUAGGCGGCAUGAUAAGUAAGAUGUGAAAGCCCGCAGCUUAACUGCGGGAUUGCAUUUUAAACUAUUGAGCUAGAGUACAGGAGAGGAAAGCGGAAUUCCCAGUGUAGCGGUGAAAUGCGUAGAUAUUGGGAAGAACACCAGUGGCGAAGGCGGCUUUCUGGACUGAAACUGACGCUGAGGCACGAAAGCGUGGGGAGCGAACAGGAUUAGAUACCCUGGUAGUCCACGCCGUAAACGAUGAGUGCUAGGUGUCGGAGGGGAACCUUCGGUGCCGUAGCAAACGCAAUAAGCACUCCACCUGGGGAGUACGAUCGCAAGAUUGAAACUAAAGGAAUUGACGG